This 433-nucleotide ribosomal RNA is filed under the name uncultured bacterium. RNAcentral's name for it is "partial 16S ribosomal RNA". It matches the Rfam family "Bacterial small subunit ribosomal RNA", at positions 29 to 507 of the family's 1533-position model. The record is from RNAcentral.
AACGAACGCUGGCGGCAUGCCUAACACAUGCAAGUCGAACGAGACCUUCGGGUCUAGUGUCGCACGGGUGCGUAACGCGUGGGAACCUGCCUUUAGGUUCGGAAUAACUCCCCGGAAGGGGUGCUAAUACCGGAUAAUGUCCUCGGACCAAAGAUUUAUCGCCUUUGGAUGGGCCCGCGUUGGAUUAGCUAGUUGGUAGGGUAAAAGCCUACCAAGGCGACGAUCCAUAGCUGGUCUGAGAGGAUGAUCAGCCACACUGGGACUGAGACACGGCCCAGACUCCUACGGGAGGGAGCAGUAGGGAAUACUGGACAAGGGGCGAAAGCCUGAUCCAGCAAUGCCGCGUGAGUGAUGAAGGCCUUAGGGUUGUAAAGCUCUUUUACCCGGGAUGAUAAUGACAGUACCGGGAGAAUAAGCUCCGGCUAACUCCGUG